Molecule: long non-coding RNA, 696 nt
Filed under: Papio anubis (olive baboon)
Lineage: Eukaryota; Metazoa; Chordata; Mammalia; Primates; Cercopithecidae
Description: lncRNA (ENSPANG00000042723.1)
Source: RNAcentral
AUGGAUCACUGCAACCUUGACCUCCAAGGCUCAAGCCAUCCUCCUGCCUCAACCUCUGGGGUAGCUGGGGCUACAGGUGGAGAAAGAGAAGUUUGUCUCCCCGAAAGCCCCUGUGUGCUCAUCUUUAUCUCCCGCCUUCCCCCAUGUCUGCUGUCAAGGUGUUCUGCUGUUCUUUACUGUGGAUAUCUGUUGGCUGUUCUAUGGUGUUGCUGUUCUCACCCCGUCAGAUGCCUGGUGGCUUCUCUCUGUUUCCUCCUGCAAAGAUGUCAAUACCAUACAGAAAAACCAAACACGUCUCAUAUAGCGAGGGAGGCAUUACUGGCGUCAUCUGGUUUGAAGGCCAAACUCCUCCCCAGUGGGACAGGUUUGUGGCUAUAUACAGUGAAUCCCCUCUGUGCAACAGGAAAGGAAAUACUCUUGUUUCUGAAAUUGGCAAAGCUUGUUUCCUGCAUCAUCACCUUUGCCUAUGUCUUUUUCUUUUCUUGGUGGAUAACCCACUUGUUGCUUUUCUUUAGACAUUUCUUAUUUUUGGACCUAUUGAUUCUGACUGUACUCGCCCUUCCCCUCCUCAGGCUAUUUUCCCUGUUCAGUGUUAAUAUUCUAUACAGUAGCUCUUCUAAUAUCCUUGAGUGUACCUUUAUGCAUCUUAUUUCUACUGUUGGUACUAAAGAUUCUUAUAAUAAUGUGUGUUGUUGA